This is a small nuclear RNA of Vulpes vulpes (red fox), 177 nucleotides long. Its record names the gene U2. It matches the Rfam family "U2 spliceosomal RNA". Rfam says of the family: U2 is a small nuclear RNA (snRNA) component of the spliceosome (involved in pre-mRNA splicing). NCBI's taxonomy places the organism in Eukaryota, Metazoa, Chordata, Mammalia, Carnivora, Canidae. The record is from Ensembl.
AUAGAUUCUUGGCCUUUUGGCUAAGAUCAAGCGUGGUAUCUGCUCUUACCAGUUUAACAUCGGAUAUGUCCUCUAUCUGAGGACAAUGUAUUCCAUUGAUUUUUGGAGUAGGGGCUGUAUAGGAGCUUGCUUUGUGUACUCCAUACAUCAUUUUCCUGGUCCCUGGGUGUUUAACAG